This is a long non-coding RNA of Hemicordylus capensis (graceful crag lizard), 560 nucleotides long. RefSeq lists it as uncharacterized. The record is from RefSeq and is a predicted model, not a curated record. The transcript has 2 exons. NCBI's taxonomy places the organism in Eukaryota, Metazoa, Chordata, Lepidosauria, Squamata, Cordylidae.
GUAAAUGGGAAGGGACUCUAAAUCUCAGCAGCACAGAGCAAAUAAAAGGUUUUUAGGGGAAACCCGAAGCAGACAACACAGAAGACUCUCCAACCACAAGAAAUAGUUGGUUCCUUCAGUGAGCUAAAGAAGGGGAUGAUCAAACUCGCUCUUGAAAUCAAGCAAUAUUCAGGACUGAACUUGAGUGGAUGCCUAUAACAGAUUUGUUCUCGGCUUUCUAAUAAUAAAGAACGAAAAUCUUGAUUCUUAUAGACAGAAUAUGACAGUCAGGAACCCAGCUCUGCCUUGUGCAAUCGACACAAUAACCACACAGCUUUCAACAGUUCAUAAUGUACAGAUACAAAUGAUGGCGUGCAAAAUGAAUCAUUUUCACACUCUUUUAUUUAAUUUACGCAUUUAAAGUAAUUCUAAGGUAUCCUAAUUCAUACCUUGUUAUCUUUCUAUUGUGCACAGUAUCUGUUUACAUUAUAUUUGUGUAUACACAUGUGUGUAUAUAAACACACAAACAUGUGUUUUUCCUUUGUGUACAUGAAACUAAAAUCAGGAAACAACUAUGCAUA